UCGGUUUCGGUUCACCCCUCCGGCCCUGGUGGGGACCCGACGACC
Regulatory RNA element from Actinokineospora bangkokensis, 45 nucleotides. It matches the Rfam family "L31-Actinobacteria ribosomal protein leader". NCBI's taxonomy places the organism in Bacteria, Bacillati, Actinomycetota, Actinomycetes, Pseudonocardiales, Pseudonocardiaceae. The record is from Rfam.